Molecule: ribosomal RNA, 373 nt
Filed under: uncultured organism
Description: partial 16S ribosomal RNA
Rfam family: Bacterial small subunit ribosomal RNA
Source: RNAcentral
GUAGGUGGCGAGCGUUGUCCGGAAUUAUUGGGCGUAAAGCGCGCGCAGGCGGUUCUUUAAGUCUGAUGUGAAAGCCCACGGCUCAACCGUGGAGGGUCAUUGGAAACUGGAGAACUUGAGUACAGAAGAGGAAAGCGGAAUUCCACGUGUAGCGGUGAAAUGCGUAGAGAUGUGGAGGAACACCAGUGGCGAAGGCGGCUUUCUGGUCUGUAACUGACGCUGAGGCGCGAAAGCGUGGGGAGCAAACAGGGAUUAGAUACCCUGGUAGUCCACGCCGUAAACGAUGAGUGCUAAGUGUUAGGGGGUUUCCCGCCCCUUAGUGCUGCAGCUAACGCAUUAAGCACUCCGCCUGGGGAGUACGGCCACAAGGCUG